Molecule: transfer RNA, 76 nt
Filed under: Clostridiales bacterium GWB2_37_7
Lineage: Bacteria; Bacillati; Bacillota; Clostridia; Eubacteriales
Description: tRNA-Val
Rfam family: tRNA
About the family: Transfer RNA (tRNA) molecules are approximately 80 nucleotides in length.
Source: RNAcentral
GGUCGGUUAACUCAGCUGGUAGAGUGCCACCUCGACAUGGUGGAAGUCGUAGGUUCGAGCCCUAUACCGACCACCA